Molecule: long non-coding RNA, 666 nt
Filed under: Lathyrus oleraceus (garden pea)
Lineage: Eukaryota; Viridiplantae; Streptophyta; Magnoliopsida; Fabales; Fabaceae
Description: Pisum sativum (pea) long non-coding RNA (PSAT_LNC029321)
Source: RNAcentral
GCUCACAAAAUAAUGAAACAUCAUUCAAUAAAGAAUCUCAACCAUUAUCUCUUAUAGCUUAUAGUCUUAUUUUGGACACGUUUACUAACUUCAUAGCAUUUACAAUAUCUUGAUCACUUCUUUGUAAUGCUUGAGAUAAAUCAUGUGUAAUUCCUAAAAGUAUUUUCACCAAAUGCAAGAUGAAAAUGAAUUCAAAAGAUUGCAUAUAAUUCAUCAACAUUAAUGCUUCACCUUUUUUUAUCUUAAUUUGUCUCAUCUUCCUUAACCAUUUCUAGCACAUCAAUCAUAGAAGAGAAUAGAGAAACUAUACUAAGUAAUGUACCAUAAUGUGAGCUCCAUCUUGUUUCCACUGCCUUCUUAAUUGUCAUUUCUUGAUUCUAGCCACGUCCACUAGAGAUUUCUCCAUGUUUCAAUGCUUCUUUCACCUUUGUAGCUUUACUUUCACAAAGAAUAUCUCGGUGCUUACAUGAUGCUCCAACAACAUUAUACAAAUUAGCAACCAAAUUAAAAAAUAAAGCAAUUUUAGAAUGCUUUUUUGCUAAUACCACAAGAGCUAAUUGGAGUUGAUGGGCAAAACAAUGAAUAAAAAAUGCAGAACAAUUCUCUUUUAAAAUCAAACUUUUUAGACCAUUGUAUUCACCUUGCAUAUUACUUACUCCGUCAUCG